AGUGAACGCUGGCGGUAGGCCUAACACAUGCAAGUCGAACGGCAGCACAGUAAGAGCUUGCUCUUACGGGUGGCGAGUGGCGGACGGGUGAGGAAUACAUCGGAAUCUACUUUUUCGUGGGGGAUAACGUAGGGAAACUUACGCUAAUACCGCAUACGACCUACGGGUGAAAGCAGGGGAUCUUCGGACCUUGCGCGAUUGAAUGAGCCGAUGUCGGAUUAGCUAGUUGGCGGGGUAAAGGCCCACCAAGGCGACGCUGCGUAGCUGGUCUGAGAGGAUGAUCAGCCACACUGGAACUGAGACACGGCCCAGACACCUACGGGAGGCAGCAGCGGGGAAUAUUGGACAAUGGGGGCAAGCCUGAUCCAGCCAUACCGCGUGGGUGAAGAAGGCCUUCGGGUUGUAGAGCCCUUUUGUUGGGAGAGAAGAGCAGCAGGUUAAUACCCCGCUGUUCUGACGGUACCCAAAGAAUAAGCACCGGCUAACUUCGUG
This 492-nucleotide ribosomal RNA is filed under the name uncultured bacterium. RNAcentral describes it as "partial 16S ribosomal RNA". It matches the Rfam family "Bacterial small subunit ribosomal RNA", at positions 29 to 507 of the family's 1533-position model. The record is from RNAcentral.